AGAGUUUGAUCCUGGCUCAGGAUGAACGCUAGCGGCAGGCCUAACACAUGCAAGUCGAACGGUAAGGUCUCUUCGGAGAUACACGAGUGGCGCACGGGUGAGUAACGCGUAUGCAACCUACCUUUAACAGGGGUAUAGCUUUCGGAAACGGAAAUUAAUCCCCCAUAGUACUUAGAUAUCGCAUGGUAUUUGAGUUAAAGCUUCGGCGGUUAAAGAUGGGCAUGCGUGGCAUUAGAUAGUUGGUGAGGUAACGGCUCACCAAGUCAGCGAUGCCUAGGGGGUCUGAGAGGAUGGUCCCCCACACUGGUACUGAGACACGGACCAGACUCCUACGGGAGGCAGCAGUGAGGAAUAUUGGGCAAUGGACGCAAGUCUGACCCAGCCAUGCCGCGUGCAGGAUGACGGCCCUAUGGGUUGUAAACUGCUUUUUUACGGGAAGAAUAGGCACUACGUGUAGUGAUUUGACGGUACCGUACGAAUAAGCACCGGCUAACUCCGUGCCAGCAGCCGCGGUAAUACGGAGGGUGCAGGCGUUAUCCGGAUUUAUUGGGUUUAAAGGGUGCGUAGGCGGCCCAUUAAGUCAGUGGUGAAAGUUUGCAGCUUAACUGUAAAAUUGCCAUUGAUACUGGUGGUCUUGAGUAUAGUUGAAGUGGGCGGAAUGUGUAUUGUAGCGGUGAAAUGCUUAGAUAUUACACAGAACACCUAUUGCGAAGGCAGCUCACUAAACUAACACUGACGCUGAGGCACGAAAGCGUGGGGAGCGAACAGGAUUAGAUACCCUGGUAGUCCACGCCGUAAACGAUGAUCACUCGUUGUUGGCGAUACACAGUCAGCGACCAAGCGAAAGCAUUAAGUGAUCCACCUGGGGAGUACGACCGCAAGGUUGAAACUCAAAGGAAUUGACGGGGGCCCGCACAAGCGGAGGAACAUGUGGUUUAAUUCGAUGAUACGCGAGGAACCUUACCUGGGCUUAAAUGUAGAACGACCGCCGCCGAAAGGUGGUUUUCCUUCGGGACGGACUACAAGGUGCUGCAUGGUUGUCGUCAGCUCGUGCCGUGAGGUGUCGGGUUAAGUCCCAUAACGAGCGCAACCCCUAUCAUUAGUUGCCAGCGAGUAAUGUCGGGAACUCUAAUGAAACUGCCGGUGUAAACCGUGAGGAAGGUGGGGAUGACGUCAAAUCAGCACGGCCCUUAUGUCCAGGGCUACACACGUGUUACAAUGGCCAGUACAAAGGGCAGCUACUUGGUGACAAGAUGCUAAUCUCUAAAGCUGGUCUCAGUUCGGAUAGAAGUCUGCAAUUCGACUUCUUGAAGUUGGAUUCGCUAGUAAUCGCGCAUCAGCCACGGCGCGGUGAAUACGUUCCCGGGCCUUGUACACACCGCCCGUCAAGCCAUGGAAGUUGGGGGUACCUGAAGUCUGUAACCGCAAGGAGCGGCCUAGGGUAAAACUAAUAACUAGGGUUAAGUCGUAACAAGGUAGCC
Molecule: ribosomal RNA, 1481 nt
Filed under: uncultured prokaryote
Description: partial 16S ribosomal RNA
Rfam family: Bacterial small subunit ribosomal RNA
Source: RNAcentral